GCCCCUUCUGACCAGGGUAUGUUUACUUCCUCACAGCCACUUUUACUUCUAGAGUUGUAGCCCCAAGAAGGAUGUCAAAUAAGGGAACGAAACACCCUCAAGAGAGAUACCUCCAAAGCUCACCUAUAGAUGUCAACCUCUGCCAGUCCUUUGGGAUGAGGUCAUGAAUGCCUUUCUCUAAUGGAAAGCUUUGCCUUCUGUAGUUCGUGAGUCAGUUGUGACAUGGACAGCAUAUAGUCCUUCAACCUCAGCCCGCUCACUGGUGGGAUAUGACCUAUUCGAUUCCGCUGCCUCAGAUAUAUGGGCUAUCACGAUCCUAAGUGCCUGCACACCUACCCACCCCUGACCUGCCUGCCCUGCUUAGGAUUAACUCAGUCUGGAAGGCUUA
RNAcentral lists this long non-coding RNA (388 nucleotides) under Pongo abelii (Sumatran orangutan). RNAcentral's name for it is "lincRNA". The record is from RNAcentral. Lineage: Eukaryota; Metazoa; Chordata; Mammalia; Primates; Hominidae.